RNAcentral lists this ribosomal RNA (1374 nucleotides) under uncultured bacterium. RNAcentral's name for it is "bacterial SSU rRNA". It matches the Rfam family "Bacterial small subunit ribosomal RNA". The record is from RNAcentral.
AGAGUUUGCUUCUGGCUCAGGACGAACGCUGGCGGCGUGCCUAACACAUGCAAGUCGAACGGGACUCAGCCCUUCGGGACUGAGUUUAGUGGCGAACGGGUGAGUAACGCGUGAGGAACCUGCCUUUCAGUGGGGGACAACAGUUGGAAACGACUGCUAAUACCGCAUAAUACUUUCGAGCGGCAUCGUUUGAAAGUCAAAGAUUUAUUGCUGAAAGAUGGCCUCGCGUCUGAUUAGCUAGUUGGUGGGGUAAUGGCCCACCAAGGCGACGAUCAGUAGCCGGUCUGAGAGGAUGAACGGCCACAUUGGGACUGAGAUACGGCCCAGACUCCUACGGGAGGCAGCAGUGGGGAAUAUUGGGCAAUGGGGGAAACCCUGACCCAGCAACGCCGCGUGAAGGAAGAAGGCCUUCGGGUUGUAAACUUCUUUUACCAGGGACGAAAAAAGUGACGGUACCUGGAGAAAAAGCAACGGCUAACUACGUGCCAGCAGCCGCGGUAAUACGUAGGUUGCAAGCGUUGUCCGGAUUUACUGGGUGUAAAGGGCGUGUAGGCGGAGCUGCAAGUCAGAUGUGAAAUCCCGGGGCUUAACCCCGGAACUGCAUUUGAAACUGUAGCCCUUGAGUAUCGGAGAGGCAAGCGGAAUUCCUAGUGUAGCGGUGAAAUGCGUAGAUAUUAGGAGGAACACCAGUGGCGAAGGCGGCUUGCUGGACGACAACUGACGCUGAGGCGCGAAAGCGUGGGGAGCAAACAGGAUUAGAUACCCUGGUAGCCCACGCUGUAAACGAUGAAUAAAAGGUGGGGGAAGGAUGACCCCUUCCGUGCCCCAGUUACACAAUAAGUUUUCCACCUGGGGAAGUCCAACCGCAAUGUUGAAACUCAAAGGAAUGGACGGGGGCCCGCCCAAACCAGUGGAUUAUGUGGUUUAAUUCGACGCAACGCGAAGACCCUUUCCAGGACUUGACGUCCAACUAAGGAAGUAGAGAUACAUUAGGUGCCCUUCGGGGAAAGUUGAGACAGGUGGUGCAUGGUUGUCGUCAGCUCGUGUCGUGAGAUGUUGGGUUAAGUCCCGCAACGAGCGCAACCCCUAUUGUUAGUUGUUACGAAAGAGCACUCUAGCGAGACUGCCGUUGACAAAACGGAGGAAGGCGGGGACGACGUCAAAUCAUCAUGCCCCUUAUGUCCUGGGCUACACACGUAAUACAAUGGUGGAAAACAGAGGGAAGCAAAGCCGCGAGGCGGAGCAAAACCCUAAAAGCCAUCUCAGUUCGGAUUGCAGGCUGCAACUCGCCUGCAUGAAGCUGGAAUUGCUAGUAAUCGCGGAUCAGAAUGCCGCGGUGAAUACGUUCCCGGGCCUUGUACUCACCGCCCGUCA